UACGAGGGGUGCUAGCGUUGUUCGGAAUUAUUGGGCGUAAAGAGUACGUAGGCGGUUCGGUAAGUUGAAUGUGAAAGCCCAGGGCUCAACCUUGGAAUUGCAUUCAAUACUGCCAGACUAGAGUAUGGUGGGAGAUAGUGGAAUUCCUAGUGUAGGGGUGAAAUCCGUAGAUAUUAGGAGGAACAUCGGUGGCGAAAGCGACUAUCUACGCCAUUACUGACGCUGAGGUACGAAAGUGUGGGGAGCAAACAGG
Molecule: ribosomal RNA, 253 nt
Filed under: uncultured bacterium
Lineage: Bacteria
Description: partial 16S ribosomal RNA
Rfam family: Bacterial small subunit ribosomal RNA
Source: RNAcentral